CCUACGGGUGGCAGCAGUGAGGAAUAUUGGUCAAUGGGCUUACGCCUGAACCAGCCAAGUCGCGUGCGGGAAGACUGCCCUAUGGGUUGUAAACCUCUUUUGUCAGGGAGCAACGCCGGCUACGUGUAGCCGGACUGAGAGUACCUGAAGAAAAAGCAUCGGCUAACUCCGUGCCCGCAGCCGCGGUAAUACGGAGGAUGCGAGCGUUAUCCGGAUUUAUUGGGUUUAAAGGGUGCGUAGGCGGAAUGCCAAGUCAGCGGUAAAAUCGCGGGGCCCAACCUCGCUCCGCCGUUGAAACUGGCGGUCUUGAGUGGGCGAGAAGAAGGCGGAAUGCGUGGUGUAGCGGUGAAAUGCAUAGAUAUCACGCAGAACUCCGAUUGCGAAGGCAGCAGACCGGCGCCCAACUGACGCUGAAGCACGAAAGCGCGGGUAUCGAACAGGAUUAGAUACCCCGGUAGUC
RNAcentral lists this ribosomal RNA (460 nucleotides) under uncultured bacterium. RNAcentral describes it as "partial 16S ribosomal RNA". It matches the Rfam family "Bacterial small subunit ribosomal RNA", at positions 338 to 795 of the family's 1533-position model. The record is from RNAcentral.